AAUGAACGCUGGCGGCAUGCUUUACACAUGCAAGUCGAACGGAAACGGCCUACUGCUUGCACUACUGCCUGCCAAUGGCGAAAGGAAGAGUAAUAUAAUGUAACCUACCCAUCAAUGUAGGACAACCAAUCUAAAGAUUGUCUAAUACCGCAUAUGCUCUGAGGAGGAAAGCAGGAGACCUUCUGCCCUUGCGUAAUACCACCCGCCCAUAUCUGAUUAUCUAGGUGGAGGGGUAAAGGCCUACCAAGGACGACUAUCCGGAGCGAGACUGAGAGAAGCAUCCGCCACACUGGAACUGAGACACAGACCACACUCCUACGGGACGCAGCAGAGUAGUAAUUUUGGACAAUGGGCGCAGACCUGAUCACAGCCAUGCCGCGUAUCACAACAAUGCCUUCGGAUUGUCCAGGACUUUUGUAAGAGAAUAAAAAUGACCGGAUAAUACCCAUAUCUGCUGACUGUACCUAAACAAUAAGCACCGGCUAACUACAUGCCACCAGCCUCGGCAAUACUUACGGUGCGAACGUUAAUCGGAAUUACUGUGCCUAAAGCGUGCGCAGACUGCUACUUAAACAUGAUGUGAAAUCCCCGGGCCUCUCCUGCGAACUGCCUUCUGAACUGGGUAGCUAGAGUAUGCUCAGAGGGGGGUAGAAUUCCACGUGUAGCAGUGAAAUGCGCACAGAUGUGGAGAAAUACCGAUGGCGAAGGCAGCCCCCUGGGAUAAUACUGACGUUCUUGCUCGAAAGCGUGUGUAGCAAACACGAUUAUAUACCCUGUGAUUCCCCGCCCUAAACGAUGUCGAUUAGCGGGAGGGCAGCUUCACUGCUUAGUAGCGGAGGUAACGCCAGAAAUCGCCCGCCUGGGGAGUACGGUCGCCAGCAUUAAAACUCAAAGGAAUUGACGGGGAGCCGCCCCAGCGGUGGAUGAUGUGGAUUAAUUCUAUGCAACGGGAAGAACCUUACCUGGUCCUGACAAGUCCGGAGCUUUCCAGAGAGGGAAGGGUACCUUCGGGAGCCGUAACACAGGUGGUGCAUGGCUGUCGUCAGCUCGUGUCGUGAGAUGUUGGGUUAAGUCCCGCAACGAGCGCAACCCUUGUCAUUAGUUGCCAUCAUUUAGUUGGGCACUCUAAUGAGACUGCCGGGUACAAACCGGAGGAAGGGGGGGAGGACGUCAAGUCUUCAUGGCCCUUAUGACCAGGGCUUCCCCAGUCAUCCAAUGGUGGGUCCAAAGGGUAGGCACAGCCGGGAGGGGGAGGCAAUGUCAUAAACCCGCUCGUAGUCCGGAUGGCGUUUGGCAAUUGGAGCCCAGGAAGUGGGAAUCGUUAGUAAUGCCAGUUCAGCAUACUGCGGUGAAUACGUUCCCGGGUCU
RNAcentral lists this ribosomal RNA (1368 nucleotides) under uncultured bacterium. RNAcentral's name for it is "bacterial SSU rRNA". It matches the Rfam family "Bacterial small subunit ribosomal RNA", at positions 28 to 1381 of the family's 1533-position model. The record is from RNAcentral.